CAAUGCGCGAAAGCAUGACAGGGGAAGUCUGAGUGGCGGAAAUUUAGUUUCCGUCUUUUGCCAAGUGUAAACAGCUUGGAGAAUAAGGGUGUGGGCAAGACUGGUGGCAGCCGCCGCGGUAACACCAGCGCCUCGAGUGGUACCCACGAAUAUUGGGCCUAAAGCGUCCGUAGCUGGACCUCUAAGUCCGCUGUGAAAUGUUGGAGCUCAACUCUAACGCGUGCAGUGGAUACUGUUGGUCUUGGGAACGGGGGAGGGUCGGGGUACUUCCAGGGUAGGGGUAAAAUCCGUUGAGCCUGGAAGGACCACCAGUGGCGAAGGCGCCGAUCCAAAACGUGUCCGACGGUGAGGGACGAAAGCUGGGGGAGCGAACGGGAUUAGAUACCCCGGUAGUCCCAGCUGUAAAUGAUGCAGACUGUGGUGUUACUUCUGAGUAAUCAUGUGUAGGUGAAGUAGGGUAGGAGAUAAAUUUCCCGCCUGGGGAGUACGAUCGCAAGAUUUAAACUUAAAGGAAAAGGCGGGCGCGCACAAG
Molecule: ribosomal RNA, 532 nt
Filed under: uncultured archaeon
Lineage: Archaea
Description: bacterial SSU rRNA
Rfam family: Archaeal small subunit ribosomal RNA
Source: RNAcentral